GACGAACGCUGGCGGCGUGCUUAACACAUGCAAGUCGAGCGGUAAGGCCCUUUCGGGGGUACGACGAGCGGCGAACGGGUGAGUAACACGUGGGUGACCUGCCCUCAGCUCUGGGAUAAGCCUGGGAAACCGGGUCUAAUACUGGAUAUGACUCCAUGACGCAUGUUGGUGGGGUGGAAAGCCUUGUGCGGCUGAGGAUGGGCCCGCGGCCUAUCAGCUUGUUGGGUGGGGUGAGGCCUACCAAGGCGACGACGGGUAGCCGGCCUGAGAGGGCGACCGGCCACACUGGGACUGAGACACGGCCCAGACUCCUACGGGAGGCAGCAGUGGGGAAUCUUGCGCAAUGGGCGAAAGCCUGACGCAGCGACGCCGCGUGAGGGA
Molecule: ribosomal RNA, 381 nt
Filed under: uncultured bacterium
Lineage: Bacteria
Description: bacterial SSU rRNA
Rfam family: Bacterial small subunit ribosomal RNA
Source: RNAcentral